ACACAUUUCUCAGAGGGGCUGAAGGUUAAGAGCUAAAUUAAACUUUUCUUUUUUUCUUCUUGUUGUGGUAACAGUGGGGAGGAAAGGCAAUGCCAACAACUGGAUCAGAAUCAACAGCAGCAUCUGUUACUGAGCUAGCCAGAAGCUUCCCUACGUUUUUAUUUUCAUUCAAAAAGAGCUUCUCAAUUCUCUCUCCAUCUCACUGUGGAGGAGUGAGUAAGCAGCUGUAUGGAGCUGAGCUGUCUGCUGAGGUUAAACCCUGACAGGCUGCUGUGAUAUCUGCAGUACAGAGGUGAAAACCAGCAGUGAAUGUACAGCCUGUUCCAUUGAUGACAGUCAACAUCAUACUGGGCCACUUUUGCAAGGAUGUUGUACAGCCGUUACAUCAGGGAUAGUGCAAUACCCUUCAGUCUGUGACUUAUGAGGCUGAAAAACUGCAAUGUGAUAGGAAAGUGGUAUCCCAUAUUUGAUGUCUUUGUGUAAGACACAUGUUGACAAACUAGAGGAUGUGAUGAAAUUACUAAAGGAGCUGAGUCUGAAGAACAAAAGGAUAAAGGGGGGGAUUGACUUGUAGGUGUCAUUACACAAAUCAGGGCCAUAAGACAAGAGUUUCUCCUGUGAAGUAUCUAGAAGGAUAAGAAAAUAACUAAAUAAAUGAAAUUGUGUUUGAGAAGAAAAUUCUUGACAGUGAAAGAAGAUGAGCAUUGGAGGCGGUUGCCCAGAAGGACUGUGAGAUCUCCACCCUCUGAUAUUUUCAUAACUCAUCUAGACAAGACAUGAGCAAUCUGACCUGUCUUUGAAAUGAACUGUGCUUUUAACAAGAGGUUGGAUUAAACAAUCUUCAGAUAUACCUUGCUAUUUUAAUUUGUCAAUAAUUCCUUAAGUCUAAACAAAAUUUAUCGCAUUGCAAAGUUAUGAUCUUCCAUUCAUAGGAAUUAUAGACAUCUUAUUUUCCUAGAUGCUUCCUGUAGAAGAAUGCUUUCAGUUGCUCUUAAUUUUGCCAAUGUUAAACCAUUUAAACUUAAAUUUCCAUCCUGGACAUUUGCCUAGUAAUAUAGCAGUGCCUGCACUUUUCUUAAAUGAAAUUUGAGGAAAAGAUCUUGCUCUGCAUAUUUGAAGAACUGUCAUGCUGGUUGGCUUUUUACAUUUGCCAUUCUUAUGUUUUAGUAGAAUUUUUUAAAAUUUGUUUAAUAGCUGAAAAAUUGAUUGAUUAAAAUAAAAAAUAGUCUCAUUAAUUAAUAGGGAUUUCUGUAUAUAAAAUGGAGAUAUGUGGGCUUGUGUGCUUGAAAAUAUCAGGGGAAAAAAAAAAGACCAGAGAGGAAUAUUAACAGAGGGGGAAAUGGUAUAGUUUAGUAGAGAGAGAAAUUGAUUGUGAAAGAGGAAGGUCAGGUACAGCAAAGAAGAAGAAGCACAGGUACCAAAAUAGGCAAUGGCAGGAGAUAGUAAAUAUAUAGUAAAACCCAGGAAGUGAAUGGACAAAGCAUGGGAUUGUUGGACUGGCAAGAGAGAAAAAAACCAGGAACAGACACUGAGCAUGGAAAGAUAAUGCCAUAAAAAAGUCAAAUGACAAUAAGGAGUGUAGAAGUCUUUCACAUCAGACAAACUUCUCUCCAAAGUUUUAGUUGAAAACUGUUCUUCCUGAAUGUAAUAUUCCCUUUUAAUUAAAAAAUAUAUCUAUCAUAGUGUCUCACAACUCCAAAUGUCUCAAUUCUUCUGUAAAGCUAGGCUAAUGGAGAAGGUAAGAGCCACCUUAGCGCUAUAUUUCACUCAAUUAAUUCAUAUGAUAAGCAAACUGAAAUUCUUGUAAAGAUCCUGAGUCUGACAAUUACUUCAGGGGGUGACUAUUAUUUUUCUGUGCUAUGACAUUUUUCUCUUUGGUGCAUAAAAUGAUACAUUGGUGAGUAUUAGAGUUGCAAAGCAAUCAAAAAGUUAGGAAAAACAGAAAUAAAUGUUGCCUAUCUUACAGCAAAAAAAAAAAAGCUUCUAAUGGUAUUAUUAUGACAUAUUACAUGAUGUUUAUCUGCCUGGGGGCUGAAUUAUAUUUGCAGGUGUAACCUUUAUUCUCACAUUUUGUAGUCACCUUAAUGAUUAAUUUUUCAACUUUCGUAUUCUUUUAACUACAUACUUAUAUGGACAUAUCCUUAGCAUGCAAAUAUAAAAACCAUAAUUAAUUCAGCUUUAGGCUAUUUCACAUUUCCCAUUACAAUUAUUCAUCAGUACACCGAGUUUUUGAGGUUUAAAAUAUUAUAGUAAUCAGGAAUAGUAAUAUUAGCACAUCCUGAAUGUAGAGAAAAAGUUAUAC
This is a long non-coding RNA of Passer domesticus (house sparrow), 2302 nucleotides long. RefSeq lists it as uncharacterized. The transcript has 3 exons. The record is from RefSeq and is a predicted model, not a curated record. NCBI's taxonomy places the organism in Eukaryota, Metazoa, Chordata, Aves, Passeriformes, Passeridae.